Nycticebus coucang (slow loris) is the source of this 550-nucleotide long non-coding RNA. RefSeq lists it as uncharacterized. NCBI's taxonomy places the organism in Eukaryota, Metazoa, Chordata, Mammalia, Primates, Lorisidae. The record is from RefSeq and is a predicted model, not a curated record. The transcript has 2 exons.
AUGGGGGCAGGGAUGAUUUUUCUUUUUGUUUUGAGGGAGAACUUUUACUGUACUAAAGAAACAAAGAAAUUUGGGGUCAUAAUCAAAUAGGGGCCAUUCUCAGAAAAUGGCAAGCCACUUACUCGGUGGAGACAAGGCCAAAUUCAAAAUGGUUGUAUCCCCUCCCUUCCUCUCCCAGAAUCACUUCCUAGGACACCCCGAGCUGCUUGCCCAGGGUCCUGUUUCCCUGCUAACUCCAGAGAAGCAUCCCAGGGCUUUGUGACAGUCUCUAAUUCCCUUCCCUUCUCAUUAAGAAUCAUAUUGUAUAGUAGCUUUCAGACCAUACAGUAUUCAUUGGGUUACUCCUAUUAUUAUCAAGUAGCUGGAAUUGUGAAGGUCGGAGUAGUUAGAUCUUUAGCUUUUAUUCCUUAUUUUUUUGUAUUACUCUCCAUGUGUAUAAAUUAUUGAUCAUGUUGCUGGCUUUUAUAAACUCUAAGCAAAGGAAGAGCACUGCCUCAGCCUUUGCAAAUGGUAAUGAAGCACUGUUUUUAAAUAAAAGAGAGAAACACCA